AAUAGUAAACUAGAAAAACACAUUUAUUAUAUCGUUAACCCUACACAGGAGUGUUUAUAGGAAAGAUUUAAAGAAAAUAAAGGAACUCGGCAAACACAAACUCCGCCUGUUUACCAAAAACAUCGCCUCUUGCAAACCCUGUAUAAGAGGUCCCGCCUGCCCUGUGACAUUGUUUAACGGCCGCGGUAUUAUGACCGUGCGAAGGUAGCGUAAUCACUUGUCUUUUAAUUGAAGACCUGUAUGAAAGGCAUCACGAGAGUUUACCUGUCUCUAUUUUCUAAUCAAUGAAAUUGAUUUCCCCGUGCAGAAGCGGGGAUAUAGGCAUAAGACGAGAAGACCCUAUGGAGCUUUAAACACUUAAGUUACUAUCUUACUUAUCAAUUAAUCUAAAGACCUAACCUCCCCUAAUAGUAGCCUAACUUAAUGUUUUCGGUUGGGGCGACCAAGGAGUAAAAGAAAACCUCCUUAUCGACUGAGUAUUUUUACUUAAAAACCAGAACGACAGUUCUGAUCAAUAGAAUAUCUAACGAAUAAUGACCCAGGGCUACACCCUGAUCAAUGAACCAAGUUACCCUAGGGAUAACAGCGCAAUCCUUUCUAAGAGUCCAUAUCGCCGAAAGGGUUUACGACCUCGAUGUUGGAUCAGGACAUCCUAAUGGUGCAACCGCUAUUAAGGGUUCGUUUGUUCAACGAUUAAUAGUCCUACGUGAUCUGAGGU
This 718-nucleotide ribosomal RNA is filed under the name Leucoraja fullonica (shagreen ray). RNAcentral describes it as "partial 16S ribosomal RNA". It matches the Rfam family "Bacterial large subunit ribosomal RNA", at positions 1616 to 2611 of the family's 2925-position model. The record is from RNAcentral. Lineage: Eukaryota; Metazoa; Chordata; Chondrichthyes; Rajiformes; Rajidae.